RNAcentral lists this non-coding RNA (21 nucleotides) under Caenorhabditis elegans. Lineage: Eukaryota; Metazoa; Nematoda; Chromadorea; Rhabditida; Rhabditidae. The record is from RNAcentral.
UCUUUCUCUGAGUCGAGAAAU